UACGAAGGGUGCAAGCGUUACUCGGAAUUACUGGGCGUAAAGCGUGCGUAGGUGGUUUGUUAAGUCUGUUGUGAAAGCCCCGGGCUCAACCUGGGAAUGGCAAUGGAUACUGGCAAGCUAGAGUGCGGUAGAGGGUAGUGGAAUUCCCGGUGUAGCAGUGAAAUGCGUAGAUAUCGAGAGGAACACCAGUGGCGAAGGCGAGUCUCUGGACGACCCCUGACACUGAGGCACGAAAGCUAGGGGAGCAAACAGG
Molecule: ribosomal RNA, 253 nt
Filed under: uncultured bacterium
Lineage: Bacteria
Description: partial 16S ribosomal RNA
Rfam family: Bacterial small subunit ribosomal RNA
Source: RNAcentral